Schistosoma mansoni is the source of this 48-nucleotide non-coding RNA. NCBI's taxonomy places the organism in Eukaryota, Metazoa, Platyhelminthes, Trematoda, Strigeidida, Schistosomatidae. The record is from Rfam.
AUCCAGCUGACGAGUCCCAAAUAGGACGAAACACGUGUCCAACUGGAU